RNAcentral lists this long non-coding RNA (821 nucleotides) under Elaeis guineensis (African oil palm). Its description in RNAcentral is "long non-coding RNA (EGUI_LNC079312)". Lineage: Eukaryota; Viridiplantae; Streptophyta; Magnoliopsida; Arecales; Arecaceae. The record is from RNAcentral.
UACUUUCUCUCUCUAAAAUUUUCUCUCUCUAAGUUGUUUCUCUCUCUUGAUGGAUUUCUCCCUCUCUAAAGUUAUUCAUCUAGGAUUAGCGUAGUGGAAGGCUUCAUCUGAUGAUUUUGAUCGAGUUUAGGGAAGAGUCUGAUUUUAAGUGAGGUUUUAAUUUUGGGAUUUGUUAAAUUUAAUUUUGAAUUAAAAUUAAUAUAAAAAUAUAAUUUUGAAUAAUAGGCAUGAAAAAAUCUCUUAGAAGUUAAUCGAUAUAUUCAUUCAGUGCUCCGUGAAAGGUAAGUAAUGAAUCAUCAUCUCGAGAUAUUCCAUAUUUAUUCUGAAAAUAAAUAAUUAUUCUCUAAAAUUAUGCAUGAUUUAUGAAAUUAUGUUUUGAAAGAAAAGUGCUUUUGAAAUAUUAUGGUACGUCGAUUUAUGCACAUGUUCAGUGAAAAAUUAUGAUAUAUUAUGGUACAAAGUAUUUUGAUAUAGAUCAAAUUUAUGCUCUCAGCCUAACUAUGUUUCAGUGGGCCCCGCCAAUGGGGAUUAUACAUUGGUACUCAGUGGGGGUUGUGCACUGGUGUUUGUGGAUCCUGUCAGUGGGGGUUGUGCACUGGUAUUUGUGGACCCUGCCAGUGGGGGUUGUGCGCUGGUAUUCUGUGGACCCCGCCAAUGGGGGUUAAAUGUUGGUCAUAGUCGAGGCUGUUGAGUUACGAGUAUUUUGAAUCGAAUCGGAUUUAUGAUUAUAUUAUAUAUGAAUAUUUGAAAAUAUUUGAUUUAUAUUAAAUCAGCAUGAAAUAUACUCUUAUGUUUAUUUGCAACAUUAUUCUUAAAAAUUA